This 1318-nucleotide ribosomal RNA is filed under the name marine metagenome. RNAcentral's name for it is "bacterial LSU rRNA". It matches the Rfam family "Bacterial large subunit ribosomal RNA", at positions 1680 to 2925 of the family's 2925-position model. The record is from RNAcentral.
UCUGAACUGAUCGGCUUAAGGCCGUUGUAAAAUUUGGCUAUAUGCUGGAAACUCCGAGUAUCCGGCGCUACCGGCUGGUUUAAUCUGAACCAGAAGGUGACAAUGCGUCCGGUGCGGACAAUCAGCAGGAAAGACCUUGGAGAAGAAGCCCCGGUCCGUCCAAGGAUCGAAGUGGACCUCCUCGGAAUCCUCAGAGACUAUACGCCAAACCCCUGACGGAACCAGCGGGAAGAUAUAGUCCGAUCUAUGUGGCGACAUAUAGAGGCCGGCAGAAAUGACCGGCCCCGUCAGUAACUACCUGAGCGCUUCGGCGCUUGAGUGACCUCUGAUGAGUAACAACAUGCCUAAGGUAGCGAAGUCCCUUGUCGGGUAAGUUCCGACCCGCAUGAAUGGUUGAACGACUUGGCCAUUGUCUCGACGGAGGGCUCGGUGAAAUUGCGGUGCCCGUGAAGACGCGGGCGACCCGCGGCAGGACAAGAAGACCCCGUGGAGCUUUACUGUAGCCUGGUAUUGGGCUGGGAGCUGUCAUGUGUAGGAUAGGUGGGAGGCUAUGAAACCCCGACGCUAGUUGGGGUGGAGCCGCCGUUGAAAUACCACCCUUGGCUGUUUUUGGUUCUAACCUCAGCAAAACUGGGGGACAGUGCCUGGUGGGCAGUUUAACUGGGGCGGUUGCCUCCUAAAAUGUAACGGAGGCGCCCAAAGGUCCCCUCAGGACGGAUGGAAAUCGUCCUAAGAACGCAUUGGCAUAAGGGGGCUUGACUGUAAGACCUACAAGUCGAGCAGGGACGAAAGUCGGGCAAAGUGAUCCUACGGCACCGUGUGGAAGGGCCGUGGCUUAUCGGAUAAAAGCUACCCCGGGGAUAACAGGCUUAUCUCGCCCAAGAGUUCACAUCGACGGCGAGGUUUGGCACCUCGAUGUCGGCUCGUCCCAUCCUGGGGCUGAAGGCGGUCCCAAGGGUCCGGCUGUUCGCCGGUUAAAGGGGUACGUGAGUUGGGUUCAGAACGUCGUGAGACAGUUCGGUCUCUAUCCGCCGUGGGCGCAGGAGGCUUGAGGGAACCUCUUCCUAGUACGAGAGGACCGGAAGGGAUAGACCUAUGGUGUGCCAGUUGUUCCGCCAGGAGCAGCGCUGGGUAGCCAUGUCUAGUAUUGAUAAGCGCUGAAGGCAUCUAAGCGCGAAGCUGCCCCCAAGAUGAGGCCUCCCUUCCCUAUUAAGUUAGGGAGUAAGACUGCAGAGAGACUAUCUGCUUGAUAGGCCGGAUGUGUAAGGAUAGUAAUAUCUUCAGCAUACCGGUACUAACCGGUCGAGAGGCUUGACCU